GACGAACGCUGGCGGCGUGCUUAACACAUGCAAGUCGAACGGAAAGGCCCUGCUUUUGUGGGGUGCUCGAGUGGCAAACGGGUGAAUAACCCGUGAGUCACCUGCCCUUGACUUUGGGAUAACUUCAGGAAACUGGUGCUAAUACCGGCUAGGAGCUCCUGCUGCAUGGUGGGGGUUGGAAAGUUUCGGCGGUUGGGGAUGGACUCGCGGCUUAUCAGCUUGUUGGUGGGGUAGUGGCUUACCAAGGCAUUGACGGGUAGCCGGCCUGAGAGGUUGACCGGGAACAUGGGGACUGAGAGAGGGAGCAGACGGCUACGGGAGGCAGCAGGGGGGAAUAUUGCACAAUGGUCGGAAGCCUGUGGCAGCAGCGCCGCGUGCGGGAUGACGGCCUACGUGUGGUAAACCGCAUUCGCCUGAGACGAAGCGGGAGUGACGUUAAUGGGUAAAGAAGCACCGGCUAACUACGUG
RNAcentral lists this ribosomal RNA (468 nucleotides) under uncultured bacterium. Its description in RNAcentral is "partial 16S ribosomal RNA". It matches the Rfam family "Bacterial small subunit ribosomal RNA", at positions 28 to 507 of the family's 1533-position model. The record is from RNAcentral.